GUCGUGAGAUGUUGGGUUAAGUCCCGCAACGAGCGCAACCCUUGUCACUAGUUGCUACGAAAGGGCACUCUAGUGAGACUGCCGGUGACAAACCGGAGGAAGGUGGGGAUGACGUCAAGUCCUCAUGGCCCUUAUGGGUAGGGCUUCACACGUCAUACAAUGGCGCAUACAGAGGGCUGCCAACCCGCGAGGGGGAGCCAAUCCCAGAAAGUGCGUCGUAGUCCGGAUUGCAGUCUGCAACUCGACUGCAUGAAGUCGGAAUCGCUAGUAAUCGCGGAUCAGCAAUGUCGCGGUGAAUACGUUCCCGGGUCUUGUACACACCGCCCGUCACACCAUGGGAGUGGGGUUCACCAGAAGCCGGUUGCCUAACCUCGCAAGAGGGGGGCGCUGACCACGGUGAGCUUCAUGACUGGGGUGAAGUCGUAACAAGGUAGCCGUACCGGAAGGUGCGGCUGGAUCACCUCCUUUCACGGAAAACAGGGAUCAGUUGUCGGUUGACGUUGUCAGCCAACAGCCGAAUACCUCAAGCCCAUCUCAAGUGUCCACAGCCUAUCGGCUGCAGCGAGUCAGUAGACAGGGAUUAGUAGGCAGUACACGGCAAGGGGCACACGCGCGCCUUACGCGCGAGGGACUACUGAUUACUGACUACUGAGCGCCGGGUCUGUAGCUCAGUUGGUUAGAGCACACGCUUGAUAAGCGUGGGGUCGGUGGUUCAAGUCCACCCAGACCCACCACGGGAUGAUCGGGGCUGUAGCUCAGCUGGGAGAGCACCGCGUUUGCAACGCGGGGGUCGUCGGUUCGAUCCCGAUCAGCUCCACCAACUCACAGAAGACAGAAGUCAGGGGACAAGGGGUCAGUGAAAUGCGUGCGGCGCUUUGCGCCGCGGCUUAAGUUCUGUGUGUCAUCUGACUUGUGGCUUUUGAUUGACUGAAGUUGGCUGUUCUUUAAAAAUUUGGAAGAAGUAAAUCGAUCGGAAGCGGUUCGAGAUCCGGGGGAGAAGGCAUGUCCCGUGGGGGGAGAGCGGCGGAAGAUCGACUGGGUUUGAUGAUUGUAUCGUCGCCUUGUCUUGUCACUUAGGACGAGGUGAUGGCAACCAAGCGCUGAAGUAGUUCAAAGCCUGUAGCGGCGAGACUUUGGGGAGCGAUCCUUGAGGGCUCAAGGUUAUAGGGUCAAGCGAAUAAGUGCAUGUGGUGGAUGCCUUGGCGAUUACAGGCGAAGAAGGACGUGGCAGCCUGCGAAAAGCUGCGGGGAGCUGGCAAACGAGCUUUGAUCCGCAGAUAU
RNAcentral lists this small RNA (1281 nucleotides) under uncultured Thiobacillus sp. Its description in RNAcentral is "bacterial SSU rRNA". The stretch from base 1 to 468 matches the Rfam family "Bacterial small subunit ribosomal RNA", at positions 1064 to 1533 of the family's 1533-position model. The record is from RNAcentral. Lineage: Bacteria; Pseudomonadati; Pseudomonadota; Betaproteobacteria; Nitrosomonadales; Thiobacillaceae.